Molecule: RNA transcript, 1442 nt
Organism: Phoenix dactylifera (date palm)
Lineage: Eukaryota; Viridiplantae; Streptophyta; Magnoliopsida; Arecales; Arecaceae
Gene name: malate dehydrogenase, glyoxysomal
Source: RefSeq, a predicted model, not a curated record
CUUUUUCACUCAUCUCAUUGCCUUGGUCACAAUUACAUCAACAUCAUCCUCUCUGCUCCUCUUUUCUUAUAUCCUGGGCCACCAAUGUAACAAACCACAUGCCAAACUGUCUCUCUUGUCCACACUUCUUCUCAUCUUCAUCGGAGGUUGAGCGUAAGAGAGAAGGAUGCAACUCAGUUCUGAGGCCUCUCAACGUUUUGCUCGGAUCUCUGCCCAUCUGCACUCCCCCAAUCUUCAGAAGAUGGAGGAGAGUUCCUUGGUAAGGCGUGAAAAUUGCCGGGCAAAAGGAGGGGCUCCUGGAUUUAAAGUGGCAAUCUUGGGUGCUGCAGGGGGAAUAGGCCAGCCCCUUGCUAUGCUGAUGAAGAUGAAUCCCCUGGUAUCUGUUCUUCAUCUCUACGAUGUUGUCAACUCACCAGGCGUCACUGCAGAUGUCGGCCAUAUGGACACUGGUGCAGUGGUACGUGGCUUUCUAGGUCAGCCACAAUUAGAGGGUGCACUAACAGGAAUGGACCUUGUGAUUAUUCCUGCUGGUAUCCCGAGGAAACCCGGAAUGACAAGAGAUGAUUUGUUUAAAAUCAAUGCUGGAAUUGUGAGGACACUGUGUGAAGGGGUUGCUAAAUGCUGUCCUCAUGCAAUUGUGAACUUGAUUAGCAAUCCGGUGAACUCUACUGUUCCUAUAGCGACAGAGGUUUUCAAGAAAGCUGGCACCUAUGAUCCCAAGCGUCUUUUGGGGGUGACCACUCUCGAUGUAUUAAGAGCUAAAACUUUUGUGGCAGAAGUGCUAGGAAUUGACCCCAGGGAAGUUGAUGUUCCUGUGGUUGGUGGUCAUGCAGGGGUUACCAUAUUACCUCUCUUGUCACAGGUUAAGCCUGCAUGCACCUUCACUGCGGAUGAAAGAAAUUAUCUAACCCAUCGCAUUCAGAAUGGAGGAACAGAAGUUGUUGAGGCAAAAGCUGGUGCUGGUUCUGCAACAUUGUCGAUGGUUGGUCUACUUGGCUUCAUAUUCUUGCAUAUGCUGCUGCCAAAUUUGCAGACGCAUGCUUGCGGGGAUUGAGAGGUGAUGCUGGCAUAGUGGAAUGUUCCUUUGUGGCUUCUCAGGUGACAGAACUACCAUUCUUUGCAUCAAAAGUACAAUUAGGUCGUGGUGGGGCUGAGGAAGUCUUCCCUCUUGGGCCACUGAGCGAGUAUGAAAGGUUUGGGUUGGAGAAGGCGAAAAAAGAGUUAGCAGAGAGCAUUCAUAAAGGAAUUUCUUUCAUUAGGAAGUGAUGGAAGGCAGGAAUAGGAGGCGACAAUUCUGCUCGUGUACUACUGCCUGUAUGUAUCAUGGAUGUGCUACUGGAAAGAUGAAUGCAGCAUUUUUGUUUCAAACAACCUUUGGUGCAGAAGAAACUUUUGAAUUCAACAGAAGAAAAAAUAAAGCAUAUCAUUAUUCAAAUAUUAAA